AUUGAACGCUGGCGGCAUGCUUUACACAUGCAAGUCGAACGGUAACAGGCCUUCGGGUGCUGACGAGUGGCGAACGGGUGAGUAAUGCAUCGGAACGUACCCAGAGGUGGGGGAUAACGCAGCGAAAGCUGUGCUAAUACCGCAUGUAAUCUGAGGAUGAAAGCGGGGGACCGAGCAGCAAUGUUUGGCCUCGCGCCUUUGGAGCGGCCGAUGUCGGAUUAGCUAGUUGGUGGGGUAAAGGCCUACCAAGGCGACGAUCCGUAGCUGGUCUGAGAGGACGACCAGCCACACUGGGACUGAGACACGGCCCAGACUCCUACGGGAGGCAGCAGUGGGGAAUUUUGGACAAUGGGCGCAAGCCUGAUCCAGCAAUGCCGCGUGCGGGAAGAAGGCCUUCGGGUUGUAAACCGCUUUUGGCAGGAACGAAACGGUGUCCGCUAAUACCGGGCGCUAAUGACGGUACCUGCAGAAUAAGCACCGGCUAACUACGUG
Molecule: ribosomal RNA, 492 nt
Filed under: uncultured bacterium
Lineage: Bacteria
Description: partial 16S ribosomal RNA
Rfam family: Bacterial small subunit ribosomal RNA
Source: RNAcentral